This 1686-nucleotide ribosomal RNA is filed under the name Salmonella enterica subsp. enterica serovar Rubislaw. Its description in RNAcentral is "partial 23S ribosomal RNA". It matches the Rfam family "Bacterial large subunit ribosomal RNA", at positions 1273 to 2925 of the family's 2925-position model. The record is from RNAcentral. Lineage: Bacteria; Pseudomonadati; Pseudomonadota; Gammaproteobacteria; Enterobacterales; Enterobacteriaceae.
CUGGAGGUAUCAGAAGUGCGAAUGCUGACAUAAGUAACGAUAAAGCGGGUGAAAAGCCCGCUCGCCGGAAGACCAAGGGUUCCUGUCCAACGUUAAUCGGGGCAGGGUGAGUCGACCCCUAAGGCGAGGCCGAAAGGCGUAGUCGAUGGGAAACGGGUUAAUAUUCCCGUACUUGGUGUUACUGCGAAGGGGGGACGGAGAAGGCUAUGUUGGCCGGGCGACGGUUGUCCCGGUUUAAGCGUGUAGGUGUGUGUUCCAGGUAAAUCCGGUUCACUUUAACACUGAGGCGUGACGACGAGGCACUACGGUGCUGAAGCAACAAAUGCCCUGCUUCCAGGAAAAGCCUCUAAGCAUCAGGUAACAUCAAAUCGUACCCCAAACCGACACAGGUGGUCAGGUAGAGAAUACCAAGGCGCUUGAGAGAACUCGGGUGAAGGAACUAGGCAAAAUGGUGCCGUAACUUCGGGAGAAGGCACGCUGACACGUAGGUGAAGUGAUUUACUCACGGAGCUGAAGUCAGUCGAAGAUACCAGCUGGCUGCAACUGUUUAUUAAAAACACAGCACUGUGCAAACACGAAAGUGGACGUAUACGGUGUGACGCCUGCCCGGUGCCGGAAGGUUAAUUGAUGGGGUCAGCGCAAGCGAAGCUCCUGAUCGAAGCCCCGGUAAACGGCGGCCGUAACUAUAACGGUCCUAAGGUAGCGAAAUUCCUUGUCGGGUAAGUUCCGACCUGCACGAAUGGCGUAAUGAUGGCCAGGCUGUCUCCACCCGAGACUCAGUGAAAUUGAACUCGCUGUGAAGAUGCAGUGUACCCGCGGCAAGACGGAAAGACCCCGUGAACCUUUACUAUAGCUUGACACUGAACAUUGAGCCUUGAUGUGUAGGAUAGGUGGGAGGCUUUGAAGUGUGGACGCCAGUCUGCAUGGAGCCGACCUUGAAAUACCACCCUUUAAUGUUUGAUGUUCUAACGUGGACCCGUGAUCCGGGUUGCGGACAGUGUCUGGUGGGUAGUUUGACUGGGGCGGUCUCCUCCUAAAGAGUAACGGAGGAGCACGAAGGUUGGCUAAUCCUGGUCGGACAUCAGGAGGUUAGUGCAAUGGCAUAAGCCAGCUUGACUGCGAGCGUGACGGCGCGAGCAGGUGCGAAAGCAGGUCAUAGUGAUCCGGUGGUUCUGAAUGGAAGGGCCAUCGCUCAACGGAUAAAAGGUACUCCGGGGAUAACAGGCUGAUACCGCCCAAGAGUUCAUAUCGACGGCGGUGUUUGGCACCUCGAUGUCGGCUCAUCACAUCCUGGGGCUGAAGUAGGUCCCAAGGGUAUGGCUGUUCGCCAUUUAAAGUGGUACGCGAGCUGGGUUUAGAACGUCGUGAGACAGUUCGGUCCCUAUCUGCCGUGGGCGCUGGAGAACUGAGGGGGGCUGCUCCUAGUACGAGAGGACCGGAGUGGACGCAUCACUGGUGUUCGGGUUGUCAUGCCAAUGGCACUGCCCGGUAGCUAAAUGCGGAAGAGAUAAGUGCUGAAAGCAUCUAAGCACGAAACUUGCCCCGAGAUGAGUUCUCCCUGAGACUUAGAGUCUCCUGAAGGAACGUUGAAGACGACGACGUUGAUAGGCCGGGUGUGUAAGCGCAGCGAUGCGUUGAGCUAACCGGUACUAAUGAACCGUGAGGCUUAACCUUACAACGCCGAAG